Strigops habroptila (Kakapo) is the source of this 1840-nucleotide long non-coding RNA. NCBI's taxonomy places the organism in Eukaryota, Metazoa, Chordata, Aves, Psittaciformes, Psittacidae. The record is from Ensembl.
UCUGAAGGCAUUAUCCUACUGUUUACCAUUACACACAAUCCUUUGCCUUAAAUUGCAUCUUUGAUUAAAGCAGCAAUGAGAGAAACCAGCACUAAUAACAAAAUGUAUUCUGCUUUAAAUCACUAAAGUGAAAACAUCAAUAAGCUGUAACCAUCAGUGCCGCCAUGAAAAUGAAGGCAACCACCAUGGGAAACAGCAAGGAUGAAAUCCACUUUGCCAGCAUAAAAGCCAAGUAAUUAGGUCUUAUGUGGGUGGAACUUAUAAUGAGGUGCAGGAGGGGGAAAAUGAAUUUCAACCCAAGCCUGCAUCCUCCUUCCCCCCCGCCAGAGCUGCUGAUCUAAGUUUGGGGGCUGCAGUAGGGUCGGCAGUCCAGUUUCUCAGCUCCAUGGGGCCCGCAAAGCAGCGCUGGCAUCUCCACCUCUACCUGUACCCAUCACCUGGCCCUCGUGGGGCUGCAGAGCAGCCCUGCCCCACACACUGUCAGUGUUUUGUACCCAUGGUACCAACUUGGAUUUCACUGGAGGAGAGGGCUGCGCUUCCAAGGAGCACAUUUGGCUUGGAGCAAGCUCAAGCUGAUAUAUUGUAUCAGCUCAAGAAACUUAUUUUCACAAUGAAAAGAAAAAAAAAGGGAAUCUGGUCUGGUUAUUGUGGAUUCAUCAGUUUGUGGAUGGGGAUAUAAAACGAAUUUAUACCCAGUGAGUUAUUUGAAUCAAAGCCCUGUGCUCCUCUGCAGCUGUCCGUCCCCCGAGGAACUGUUACUGGAGCCGUGCUGCUCCCGAUUGCUUGCCUGUGAAAGUUGUGAUACAUCAGCAAACUUCAGAUCCUCUUCCCACAUACUCUUACUUUGGGUAGAGCCUUUCAGUUACUCAGUGUUGCAGUCACCCUCCGGUUCACUGAAGCCAGGAGUACAUUUUCAGGAGCUGUCUACCCAGUGCUAAAGCAGGAGAAAUUAUUCAUAGCUUACUCUUCCAUGCUUUUAAAGUGCAAAUAAAGCAGGCAACUUCAGCGCUGGGUUUUCUAACGUUCCCUGACAUCUCCACAGCAGAUCAAGGUGCUCGCCUGCCCUUGCGCCUGCGACAUGGGCUGGAAGUCUCCAGAAAGGGCUUUUCCUGAAUUUCUUAAUAACUUGUCUUUCUGCCUUUCUUUAAGGAUGCUUCCCCGUGCUCAGACCGAGGCUGACUGCCGAGCUGGCUGCAGUUCUGCCUCCCGCCGGUGCUUGUGGGCUGCGGGCUGUAGCUGCCGUCGGGAUGUGGCUAACAGGCAGCCUCAGGUUCAGUUUCGGGUUUGUUUGCAGCUCAGAUUUAUCCCAAAGCUUGUCAGAGGCUGCCACACGGUUUGGUGCCUUUUCCUCUGCUGGUUUCCACACCCCCCCGCCCGCUUGGUUACAUCUCUAGAACGAGCAUUCGGUUUCCCGAGGGGUCACACUCCAGUUAGCAGCCGGGUAGGAUUCCCGGUUGUUAUGUGGGAUACAGCGCGGGCACCUGCACAAGCAAAGCAGGGAGGACACCCCGUGUGCCCGGCAGCAGGACAGGCAGCUCCGGCCGCUGCCGUGAGGUCAGCCUGCCUAAGCCCCAGCCGGGCAUGGGCACUCUACCUCCGAAGGGCCUCCUGGGCCGCGGCCCGCUCCCACACACCCCAAAGCGGGUAGGUAAGCGGGUAGCAGGUAAGCCCGGCGCUGCGGGGCAUUGGCCGGGGGGGGGUGUGCACCCCUCGUCGGUGCGGGCAGGGGGCAUCUCCCGCGCGACCGCACUGCGUCCGGCAGUGACGGGGCCUCCGGGCGCUGCCGGGCCGGGCCGGGCCGGGCCGGGCCGCCCGCGCACCCCCUCAGCCCCGCGCCCCC